CGGGGUGAGUAGUGUCUGGGAAACUGCCUGAUGGAGGGGGAUAACUGCUGGAAACGGUAGCUAAUACCGCAUAACGUCGCAAGACCAAAGAGGGGGACCUUCGGGCCUCUUGCCAUCGGAUGUGCCCAGAUGGGAUUAGCUAGUAGGUGGGGUAACGGCUCACCUAGGCGACGAUCCCUAGCUGGUCUGAGAGGAUGCCAGCCACACUGGAACUGAGACACGGUCCAG
This 228-nucleotide ribosomal RNA is filed under the name uncultured bacterium. RNAcentral's name for it is "partial 16S ribosomal RNA". It matches the Rfam family "Bacterial small subunit ribosomal RNA", at positions 104 to 334 of the family's 1533-position model. The record is from RNAcentral.